Molecule: ribosomal RNA, 1258 nt
Filed under: uncultured bacterium
Lineage: Bacteria
Description: bacterial SSU rRNA
Rfam family: Bacterial small subunit ribosomal RNA
Source: RNAcentral
GGGGCCGUGGGGGCUCCCUUAACAUGCAAGUCGAACGGCAGCGCGGGGCAACCUGGCGGCGAGUGGCGAACGGGUGAGUAAUAUAUCGGAACGUGCCCUGGAGUGGGGGAUAACGCAGCGAAAGUUGCGCUAAUACCGCAUACGAUCUAAGGAUGAAAGCGGGGGAUUCGCAAGAACCUCGUGCUCCUGGAGCGGCCGAUAUCUGAUUAGCUAGUUGGUGGGGUAAAGGCCUACCAAGGCAUCGAUCAGUAGCUGGUCUGAGAGGACGACCAGCCACACUGGAACUGAGACACGGUCCAGACUCCUACGGGAGGCAGCAGUGGGGAAUUUUGGACAAUGGGCGAAAGCCUGAUCCAGCAAUGCCGCGUGAGUGAAGAAGGCCUUCGGGUUGUAAAGCUCUUUUGUCAGGGAAGAAACGGUGAAGGCUAAUAUCCUUUGCUAAUGACGGUACCUGAAGAAUAAGCACCGGCUAACUACGUGCCAGCAGCCGCGGUAAUACGUAGGGUGCAAGCGUUAAUCGGAAUUACUGGGCGUAAAGCGUGCGCAGGCGGUUUUGUAAGUCUGUCGUGAAAUCCCCGGGCUCAACCUGGGAAUUGCGAUGGAGACUGCAAGGCUAGAAUCUGGCAGAGGGGGGUAGAAUUCCACGUGUAGCAGUGAAAUGCGUAGAGAUGUGGAGGAACACCGAUGGCGAAGGCAGCCCCCUGGGUCAAGAUUGACGCUCAUGCACGAAAGCGUGGGGAGCAAACAGGAUUAGAUACCCUGGUAGUCCACGCCCUAAACGAUGUCUACUAGUUGUCGGGUUUUAAUUAACUUGGUAACGCAGCUAACGCGUGAAGUAGACCGCCUGGGGAGUACGGUCGCAAGAUUAAAACUCAAAGGAAUUGACGGGGACCCGCACAAGCGGUGGAUGAUGUGGAUUAAUUCGAUGCAACGCGAAAAACCUUACCUACCCUUGACAUGUACGGAAGCCACGAGAGAAUCGAGCGUGCUCGAAAGAGAGCCCGUAACAAAAGGUGCUGCAUGGCUGUCGUCAGCUCGUGUCGUGAGAUGUGGGUUAAAGUUCCCGCAACGAAGCGCAACCCUUGUCAUAGUUGCUACCGAAAGAGCACUCUAAUGAGACUGCCGGUGGACAAACCGGAGAAGGUGGGAUGACGUCAAGUUCUCUCAAGGCCCUUAUGCUAGGCCCUUUCCACACGUCAUACAAUGUACAUACCAGAGCCGCUAACUCUGAAAGGGGAGACCUAUAUCUCCCUGAAAG